This 74-nucleotide transfer RNA is filed under the name Acidimicrobiales bacterium. RNAcentral describes it as "tRNA-Ile". It matches the Rfam family "tRNA". From Rfam's summary of the family: Transfer RNA (tRNA) molecules are approximately 80 nucleotides in length. Their secondary structure includes four short double-helical elements and three loops (D, anti-codon, and T loops). Lineage: Bacteria; Bacillati; Actinomycetota; Acidimicrobiia; Acidimicrobiales. RNAcentral also lists the same sequence under 2 other names. The record is from RNAcentral.
GGGCCUGUAGCUCAGUUGGUCAGAGCACGCGACUCAUAAUCGCUUGGUCGUGGGUUCGAUCCCCACCGGGCCCA